GAUACGACUGGUACCUAAAUCUGAGGUUGUCAACAACAUCCCAUUGCAAGAGAGAGACUUUUGGACUAUUCCCAAAGUCCAAAGUCUAUUCAAGCAAAGCCACAUUCUUAACAAAAUCUGACUCCUAAAAGUACUAUGCUGGUAGGAAUUUGUCUUCAAUACAAUCACACCUAUUUAGCAGAAAAGCUCCUGUUUCUUACCCCUGCUACCUCAAGGACAGAUAUGUAGAGAAAUGUCCUGCACCGAUUCUUCCUGAAGAGUCAAGGGAACAUAUUUACAGUUCAUGGGCAAAUAAACUUACAUUGUAAAUGAUCAUAUAUAAGCUAAUGAGGAAUUGAAGGAAAGUAAUAUUUAUGAAGUACUUAGGUAUGCUAAGCCCUCUAUGAGCUGCUUUAAUACAAAUUACCACAUUAAAUCUUCACAAGAACCCUGGGAGCUAGUUAUUAUUAUUCCUACUCAAGAAUAAAUGGAAACAAUGGUUCCAAGAGGUUAACUAACCUGCACAAGGUCACACUGCUGGUUGAGGAUGGAAUUUAGGUUCUAACUCGGAAUUAUCUCAUUCCAAAGCUCAUCUUCUUUCCUUUACCUUCUAUUUCUUCAUGGCUAAGUUUAUGGC
RNAcentral lists this long non-coding RNA (616 nucleotides) under Pan troglodytes (chimpanzee). RNAcentral describes it as "long non-coding RNA NONPTRT003853". Lineage: Eukaryota; Metazoa; Chordata; Mammalia; Primates; Hominidae. The record is from RNAcentral.